UCCGUAGGCGGGCUAAUAAGUCAGGGGUGAAAUCCCACAGCUUAACUGUGGAACUGCCUUUGAUACUGUUAGUCUUGAGUUAUAUGGAAGUAGAUAGAAUGUGUAGUGUAGCGGUGAAAUGCAUAGAUAUUACACAGAAUACCGAUUGCGAAGGCAGUCUACUACGUAUAUACUGACGCUAAUGGACGAAAGCGUGGGGAGCGAACAGGAUUAGAUACCCUGGUAGUCC
Molecule: ribosomal RNA, 229 nt
Filed under: uncultured bacterium
Lineage: Bacteria
Description: partial 16S ribosomal RNA
Rfam family: Bacterial small subunit ribosomal RNA
Source: RNAcentral